UGGAGCGAAAGACGGGCAUUGAAGGUGUCCCUGCCGGUACUCAUAAACCUUCUAUGCCAACCAAGCCACAUCUCGGCCUUCGUGGUCCUCAGCAAGGCAGCCAGGAAGGUGGCUCUGCAGGCCCACUCCCUGGGGCCGCACCCUUACCUCAGCAGCUUCCAUGGCAGGCUUGUUCUCCCUGAAGCCCUACAGAGAAAAGGCAUUUGGAAAAAACACCCUAAAGCUGUUAUAUGCUCCGCAUCCCAUUGCCUCCCUGCACCCCGUCAUCAAGUCAAAUGUGGGCCAGCUGUGGAUGUGGGAGGUUCCCAAGAUGUUGCAGAUCCUGGAGGAUCUUAGGAAGUUCCUGUCGCUCUCUGAGCUGGAUAGUAGAACAAAGCUGCUUCUCACCUGCUACUGGAGCAUGCUCUGCCUGCCCCCGUCAGAGGUGAUGCAGAAGGAGGAGUCCAGAUCCACAGAGGGACAGGCCAGUGUGGUCUCAUCCUGAGACAUCUCCUCCUGACCCACCAUGGCUGCCUGGCUCUCCCGGGAGUGGCACCUACAAUGUUCAAGAUAGAGAAAAACAUCAAGACCUG
Homo sapiens (human) is the source of this 572-nucleotide long non-coding RNA. NCBI's taxonomy places the organism in Eukaryota, Metazoa, Chordata, Mammalia, Primates, Hominidae. The record is from Ensembl.